RNAcentral lists this ribosomal RNA (1747 nucleotides) under Triticum aestivum (bread wheat). RNAcentral describes it as "partial small subunit ribosomal RNA". The record is from RNAcentral. Lineage: Eukaryota; Viridiplantae; Streptophyta; Magnoliopsida; Poales; Poaceae.
UCGAACCACAUAGAGAUAGACUGCAAACCAACCGAUUUAACAGAUUUUGACUCACUACCAAGUACCAACACGCUCUGGCUAAAAUAAAUCUGCAAUCACAGGGGGGCACAAGCAAAAAAACCUAAAUCAAAGGCAUGAACAAGUAGCUACGUGAAAUAAAAAUAAGAGGCAAGAGUUAAUAAUGGAGCAGAGUCUUUUUGUUGUAGGAUGUGCCAUUAGUUUGAAGCUCCAUUCUUGCACCUUUGCAGAUGAAUCUGAAUUUAAAAUACUGCCUAGUGAGAGAUCUUCAAGGUCAUCCAAUUAAUGAUGAAUUGAUUAGAUUUAGAAAAACUGCAAACAGAUUCAACUCAGCAUCAGGUUAGACUUUGCGUUUGUCACAACUGCAACGAGCAAGAUACUUCUCUGUAAAUUAGGGGGAAACUAGGCUCAGCUAAAGCAUGCUUCAAAUGAGGAGGUAAAAGUUAUAAGAAAGUCUUGUCUGGGAAGGUCAGGUAGACAGCAUCGAUUCCAUUUAUAUCCCUUCCAAGGCGAUGUCUGCAAGAGCUGACAAUUGACAAACUAAGGCAGAGAAAACUUGUCUGGUGUGUUUUAAUUAUAUUUGAUGAGCCACAGAAAAGGAACCGCCAGGGCCACCCGCUAUGCCGUAUAAUUCCAAUUUUCUGGAGUAGGAGCAACAAAUCCAAAUCAGAAUUGUGUGGAGACUAAUUGAACUGUGGAGAAAAGAAAAUGAACAGAUCAUCCAAACACAGGUGAGGAAGAAUAACAAGUCGCUCCCGGUAAGCCGUAUAAUCCCAAUUUCUGGACAACCAUGAACAAAUCUAAUUCAGAACAGACUAAGAACUGUAUGGAUGAAGGAAUAAAAUAGAGGGGGUAAUAAUCAUCCAAACGCAGAUGUUGCUUCCGCUAUGGCGUGUAAUCCAAUUUAUAAUUUCUGGAGAAGCAAAGAAUUCAGAUCAGAAUUGCAUGCCGUUGACUAGUGUGCGAACCAAGAAACUAAAAUUGGGAGGGAUUUAGUAUUUAUUAUCCAAACGCAGAUCGCAGGUUCCAGGUUGGUAGGAGACCCUAAGCUUCAUCACUCAGAAGAUCUGACCAUAUCAUCAGAACAACAACCGGCGAACCGUAACCAACCAAUCAAUCAGAAUAAUCAUGAAUAGAAAUCAAACCUCCACCAAAUCCUCGAGGGCCUCGAAUUGAUCCACCUCGCAGUAACGAAUGAUUGACGGAAUAAACCAGAGCGCUAGGGGAACCAGAAGAUCACGCGGGCCAUAUCCAUUUGAUUUGAAAGCUGGAAUAUAUCACGGACGAACGCAGGUGAUGGAACCAAGGAAGCGAUCUGAACUCGCACGGGACACUGACCUUGCCUCGGCCUCCGGCUCCAUAAUCAGAGCUCCGAUUCCGAAAACCAGGCUCGAACCAACGCACGCGGAUGCGAAUAGGAAUACAAGGAACACAGGAUCCACAGUUGCAAACAGAAUUGGGCACGCGAAACAGACUCUGAUAUAGAUUCGCAAACCAAAUGAAUGAAUCCCCCGAUCGAUCGAUCGAUCGCUUCUCGGGCUCGCACGGAGGCGGAGGAGGCGGGCCGAAUCCCCUGCCUGCGAGCACAGGAGGCAGAGGCGCCGAGGAGCGAAAUCAAACGCGAUUCGAAACGAAUCGAGAUUUUGAUGGACAAGGGGGACGCGAGGAGGCGACUCGGGCGAGAGCAGAGGCGCGGGCAGAACGAAAGCUCCAAAGGAGAAGAGAGGAG